UCUGCGGAAACAAGGCCCGUACGAGAAGAUUUUAAACGUAUGUGCGAGCGACGCCUUCACUAACUAGCCCGGUCCAACACCUUUGCUUCGGCUGGACCAGUUUUGGACAUCGUGCGUUUUUUUUUAAUCGCAGAUUGACUUCACCAUUUUCACGGGCCUGGCGCUUAUAGCGCUGUUUCUGCUGCUCAUCUUCGGAAUCGUAGCCCUUAUCUUCCCUUCGAGGACACGUCUCAUGAUUUACAGCUGUUGUGGGGCCGGCUUGUACUCCAUUUACAUCGUGAUCAAUACGCAACAGAUCGUUGGCGGCCGCAACAGGAAGUACACACUGUCACCGGAGGACUACAUCGCGGCGGUCCUCGGUCUGUACAUGGACGCCAUCAACCUGUUCUUGUUCAUCCUGCGGCUAUACCGUGGGAGCAGAAACUAGCGGCUGCACACGUGAUGCGGAAUCCCGGGCACGAACCCGCUUGCAGCGCCACCUACGUGACCUGUGCCGUUUCUGGAACACAGUCGUGACUGGAAGUAGUAAACCUAUGGUUGUUGUUGUAGCUGCCUAUAUAAAA
Non-coding RNA from Dermacentor andersoni, 563 nucleotides. Lineage: Eukaryota; Metazoa; Arthropoda; Arachnida; Ixodida; Ixodidae. The record is from RefSeq and is a predicted model, not a curated record.